This 880-nucleotide ribosomal RNA is filed under the name Brettanomyces bruxellensis. RNAcentral describes it as "partial large subunit ribosomal RNA". It matches the Rfam family "Eukaryotic large subunit ribosomal RNA", at positions 42 to 928 of the family's 3401-position model. Lineage: Eukaryota; Fungi; Ascomycota; Pichiomycetes; Pichiales; Pichiaceae. The record is from RNAcentral.
AUCAAUAAGCGGAGGAAAAGAAACCAACAGGGAUUGCCCCAGUAAUGGCGAAUGAAGCGGCAAGAGCCCAAAUUUGAAAUCGGGCAACCGAGUUGUAAUUUGGAGACGGGACACUAGAGAGGAGGAAGGCGAUUAAGUGCCUUGGAACAGGCUGCCGUAGAGGGUGAGAGCCCCGUGAAUCGCUGGAGACCGAUCAAUUAGUGCCCGCCGAAGAGUCGAGUUGUUUGGGAAUGCAGCUCUAAGUGGGUGGUAUAUUCCAUCUAAGGCUAAAUAUUAGCGAGAGACCGAUAGCAAACAAGUACAGUGAUGGAAAGAUGAAAAGAACUUUGGAAAGAGAGUGAAAUAGUACGUGAAAUUGUUGAAAGGGAAGGGUAUUUGAUCCGACAUGGUGUUUAGCAGCGGCCCGUUCCUCGUGGAUGGGUGCACCUGGUUUACACUGGGCCAGCAUCGGUUCUGGGAGCCAUAUACGGGGUUCGUGAAUGUGGCCCUUCGAUUCUGUCGGAGGGUGUUAUAGCGCGGACAUCUUGUGGCUAGCCGGGACCGGGGACUGCGGUGACUUGUCACCAAGGAUGCUGGCAGAACGAGCAAAUACCACCCGUCUUGAAACAUGGACCAAGGAGACUAACGUCUAUGCGAGUGUUUGGGUGGAUAAAACCCAUUAACGCGGAAUGAAAGUGAACGUAGGUCGGAGCCCCCUUGGGGGCGCACGAUCGACCGAUCCCGAUGUUUUACCGGAGGGAUUUGAGUAAGAGCAUAGCUGUUGGGACCCGAAAGAUGGUGAACUAUGCCUGAAUAGGGUGAAGCCAGAGGAAACUCUGGUGGAGGCUCGCAGCGGUUCUGACGUGCAAAUCGAUCGUCGAAUUUGGGUAUAGGGGCGAAA